Molecule: long non-coding RNA, 671 nt
Organism: Mesocricetus auratus (golden hamster)
Lineage: Eukaryota; Metazoa; Chordata; Mammalia; Rodentia; Cricetidae
Exons: 3
Source: RefSeq, a predicted model, not a curated record
GAAACAGGAACCAGCUCUCUUGUCUGCUGAGAUGCUAAGGAGGCAAGAACCCCAGAAAUCCUCAGAGGCAACCAUGAGCUCUACCCCAGCAGAACGAAUUCUUAUAAGACACCUGAAGUUGGAUGUGUACAACCAGAUGUCAAGCCCACAAUGCUCAUUUCACCUAUCAAAGAGGACAUGUGUUCUUGACUGCACAAUGUUAGUCGUCACUGUUCACCGUAUGUGAAGCCAGAGAUCACAGCUGUAAGAGAACAUCUUCCGCUUUCAUCCUCAGUCAUUCUGGACUUAUGAUCCCCAUCUCACCGGGAUCAUGUCACGUCUCUCUCACUUUAGGUACGCGUCACUCUUCAGUAGAAUGGCUUUGGCACUUUGCCUUUCCGUUAAUAUCUACUACAGGCUUUUUGCUAGUUGUUGCACCCUUCCCCUAUGGGAGUCUGCUGCCCCAGCUUGUGACUAGGAGCUUCUAGCAAAACACCUCUUUAUCCCCUCCUCCCAGUAAGGCCUGCAUGCAAGUUCCUGUUUUCUGUAAAUACUAAUUCCUGUUAUGCACCCAUCCUUUGCCAGAGGGCCCUGGGAACUUAGGCUUCUGACCUUGGUGGUUUUCCACCCCGCCUGACUGGUAUAUGAGGCUCCGCUCUUGUUAAAAAUAAAUGCCAUUCUCCUUGCAAGAA